GUGCGAGCCGCCGCGGUAAUACCGGCAGCCCAAGUGAUGGCCGCUGUUAUUGGGCCUAAAGCGUCCGUAGCUGGCCGCACAAGUCCGUCGGGAAAUCCACCCGCUUAACGGGUGGGCGACCGGCGGAAACUGCUUGGCUUGGGACCGGAGGACCCGAGGGGUACGUCCGGGGUAGGAGUGAAAUCCCGUAAUCCCGGACGGACCGCCGGUGGCGAAAGCGCCUCGGGAGGACGGAUCCGACGGUGAGGGACGAAAGCCAGGGUCUCGAACCGGAUUAGAAACCCUAGUAGUCC
RNAcentral lists this ribosomal RNA (293 nucleotides) under uncultured bacterium. RNAcentral's name for it is "partial 16S ribosomal RNA". It matches the Rfam family "Archaeal small subunit ribosomal RNA", at positions 455 to 747 of the family's 1478-position model. The record is from RNAcentral.